UUUCUCUUUUUCAAAGAAAAGAGAGCAAUCAUUUUCAGCUGCAGAUAGAUUAUGAGAAAUUUGAAUGUCUGACCGACAUGGACCUGGAGGGCCAAUACCAAGGGAAACAGCACAGCUGCUAGGAGGGAGAAUUGUUGGAGAUGUAACUGCACCAAAUUGAAUUUUCUCCCCCGCAAGCAAUGAGUUGAUUGGACUCGCAGCGGAGGAAAAUGUCUUGUCCUUAGUCAAGAUGGAUGAUGGUGGCAAGCUGGACUCACCAACUGAUUUAG
RNAcentral lists this unclassified non-coding RNA (269 nucleotides) under Hevea brasiliensis (rubber tree). The record is from RNAcentral. Lineage: Eukaryota; Viridiplantae; Streptophyta; Magnoliopsida; Malpighiales; Euphorbiaceae.